UGUUAUUAAGCUACAAAAAUACUUUUUGUGUGCUAAGAAAACAAAAAUAACGACUUUAAAAUAACAUUUGUCUCUUCCGUUAAGGUUGAACCACAAAUGUCACGUUUUUAAUGAUAUCCUUACUAGCUUUCUGGGCCUUUAAUGUGUCAGUUGCAUUGCUGUCUAUGCCGGGUCAAAAAGCUCUUGGAUUUCAUCAAAAAUAUCUUAAUUUGUGUUAUGAAGUUGAACUAAGAUCUUACAGGUUUGGAGCGACAUGAGGGUCCAGUUUUUUUUUGUUGCAAAAACACCCCCCAAAAACGGACUUGACAUGAACAAGACCUGAUGUGAACAAGCCAUAUGUCUUGAUAAUUUGCAUACAAUGUUCAGCCGCUUGAAGACAUUUCGUGUCCAGCUUGAUUCCAAUUUACUGAGUACUGAACUAUACUCAUUCUGCUCCAGCCGAGUCACAGUGACACAGCUCGCUUGUUUUUGCCGGUAAAAUAUGGUGUGUUUUCCCCUCCCUCCUUUUGGAGCAUCCAGACCUGUAAGUUGAGGGUGUUGCAAUGUGUUUUUUCUUUUAUUUUGGUGCUGUUCUGCUGAGCAGACAGACCCUAAAGAGAAAUCCCAUUUCAAAUUAAAUUUAAAUGACCCCCCAAGCUCAUAAACAGUGGGUCGCCUGACAGCCUAAUUUAUAAUUCAGCACUGAGCUAGGGGCUCCUGGUUUGAUGUUAAGGAAAGGCAGCCUGAGAACGAGUCUUUGCAUCUGACUCUGAAGAACAUGAAACCUAUGUAUGUAUGUAUGUAUGUGUGUGUGUAUAUAUAAUGCAAUAAAAACAGUAUUUUUUGUUUUCAAAAAUGUGAAAUACUACUACAGUUUAAUACAACUGUUUUCUAUUUUAAUAUGUAAUUUAUUCCUGUGAAACAAAGAUGAAUUUUCAGCAUCAUUACUCCAGUGUCACAUGAUCCUUCAGAAAUCAUUCUAAUA
Long non-coding RNA from Labeo rohita (rohu), 964 nucleotides. RefSeq lists it as uncharacterized. The transcript is spliced from 3 exons. NCBI's taxonomy places the organism in Eukaryota, Metazoa, Chordata, Actinopteri, Cypriniformes, Cyprinidae. The record is from RefSeq and is a predicted model, not a curated record.